UUGCUCAGAGAUUUAAAGACAUUACUUAUCCCUGUCUGAAGGCCAAGGAAGAAAGGCACCAUCUGCCAGAGAGGACCAGACAGGAGUCUGAAGUGUGCUUUCUUCUCAUUUGACAUGACCUUCAGAAAAAUCACAGAGGACAUUCUAAACAUCUGCUAUCCUGAUUGCAGCUUGUCUGGCUUGAAAAGUCAUCUUGAGGCUCCUGUGGGCCUUCAACGGUCCGUCGGUGUCAGUCGGUCGUCUGGAGGAAUCGUCUCAUAACUGGGGCCUGCCUGUGUUUUGUGAGCUCUGUCCACAGAGUUCUGCCAAGCAGGAGAAGAGUCCAGGGGUCACGGAAACCCUUAAGGAAAGCCGUUUGCACAGAAGAUGAGCAUUUUCUGUGAGUCAUGAGUACUGGAGGUGAGGAAGAUGUGAGCCACACACCAAAAGAAAGGUGCCCUGAGUCGGGCACCAUCUUUGUGCCGAAAGAGAAGAGACAUACCCACCAGAGCCAAGACAGAGCCGCUACACUCUGUCCUUGAAGGGACAGCCAGAUGACUGCUCCCUAAAACCACACCCACUCUGUGCCUCCUUGACCUGUGCUGCUUUCUUUAUCUUACUGAAGUGUGCCCAGUGAAGGCAGGCUGAUGCUCUGGGUCAGCAGGAAUGGGACACUCCAGCUACCGUGGAUCUCCUACCCAAGGACCUGAUUGGCUGACUUCACCUGAAAGCCACUGCUCUGGUUCUCUCACCCUCCCGAGGACCAGAUCUCAGAUCCUCACACCCCUGUCACAUGCCCAGCUUUCCUGCCAACUCCUGCAAACCCAACUGUGGAGGGAUGGAGACAGGAGGAUAUCUGGGACUUGCCUGCUGUUAGCCUUGUGGAGUUGUGAAACCAGAGCUCAGGAAGAAACCCUGCCCUAAGGGACUCUGCAGAGGGACAGAGGAGGGUAUUUUUUACCCUCCUUAGGAUCUGUGAGCGACCAGGUCAGCCCAGGGUACACACAAGAAGUCUAGUAAAGGAAGUGAGAAAAGCCCAUGGCUCGGUAACCCCACAGGAGCAGUCCUUCCCCUCCACCCUCAUAUGUCUCUUUUUGUUCUUGAGUGAGCAAGAAAAGCAUCAAGUUCUUCUCCCUGGAGCUUCAGUCCUAGGUUAGAAUUCCUAAGCUGACAAAUCUGGGCCUGUGAUCUGAAAGUCACUCUGUGCCCAUUUGCCCAGCUGGACCACCAACUCCUCACAUCAGUUUUGAGACUUGAAGGUUCCCGCACACACACAUGUACUCUCCAGGAUCCUCACAGUUAAAUUCCUCUGUGCUCCCUGUAAGCUAAAUGUUCACUGAUCCUCCUUUUUCCUAGGAUAGUCCUCCCUGGAGUUCACCUGAUCUCCCAGGUGCCUUAGUAUUUAUCCAGAGUUUCUUUUGUGUUCCUAAAGUGCUAGUUUAAAAUACAUGUUUGCAAAACUGAACACACUAUCAUACAUACACUAUGUGUUAGAACUGCAGAAAGCAGUCUCAAACCUUAGGCAAUGCGGGUGUCAUGUUCUUGUCAUGACCUGGUCCUCCAUAAAUUUAGAAGCCCCUAGAGCCUCCUGUAGUCAUUGGGACUGCUUUCUGUGGUAUACCUGUGUCCUGAGGCUCCCACCAAGCCUGUAGACAUGAUUAUCUUUUGAGUCUGAUUGUCUGCUCCUGUGGUGCGUUUUAGAGUGGAGGUGUUGAGCAUACCUUUCAAGCUCUACACAGCAUCAUGUGCAGCCUCUUCCUGUGAUGCUUUCACUCAGCCUUCUAGCUCUUGACUCUGCAUUUUUUCCUGAUAGAGCUCACUUGACUUUUGACAGAUUGCCCAGCAUCCAAAGGUAGAGUCAGUCUGCCCAAGGUAGAGUCAGGGGUCUUGUCUUGUUAUCCUUUUGACAGAGGACAGGAAGAAGGGCCAGCCUAUUUGAGUUCACACAGUGCAAUCUCUUUCCUUCAUUGGGCUCAGGGGACCUUUUGACUGUGUGCAAGGGCUGGGCUAAACAGUAGAAGCUUGUGGGUCUCAACUCUCAGUUGCAUAUUGAAAUGGUCUGGAACCUCGGUCUUUUCUCCCUCUUUACUUUAAAUUUCAGAUUCAUGUGUCCACAUAUCUGCAAUGUAUUUUCUAAUUUUGUCAUACAUGUAUG
Long non-coding RNA from Mus caroli (Ryukyu mouse), 2134 nucleotides. RefSeq lists it as uncharacterized. The record is from RefSeq and is a predicted model, not a curated record. NCBI's taxonomy places the organism in Eukaryota, Metazoa, Chordata, Mammalia, Rodentia, Muridae.